This 92-nucleotide transfer RNA is filed under the name Candidatus Methanomethylophilus alvi Mx1201. RNAcentral describes it as "Candidatus Methanomethylophilus alvus Mx1201 tRNA-Leu". Lineage: Archaea; Methanobacteriati; Thermoplasmatota; Thermoplasmata; Methanomassiliicoccales; Methanomethylophilaceae. The record is from RNAcentral.
UUCGGGGCUGGUACGGGCUGUAUCUUCGAUUCAGAUACGAGGAUCCGUCGUGGAGGACUAUGACGUCCUUGUUCAGCUUCGAGGCCUUGGAU